This is a long non-coding RNA of Branchiostoma belcheri (Belcher's lancelet), 312 nucleotides long. RefSeq lists it as uncharacterized. Lineage: Eukaryota; Metazoa; Chordata; Leptocardii; Amphioxiformes; Branchiostomatidae. The transcript has 4 exons. The record is from RefSeq and is a predicted model, not a curated record.
CAGUUUUUGAGAAGUGCAGAAACAUCACCUUGCAUUUGCGAGGCCCGGCUGGCAGGUCAGGUGGUGUGGAUCACAGGAGCGUCCAGCGGGAUAGGAGAGGCCCUGGCCGUGGAGCUGGGCAGGCUGGGGGCCAGGCUGGUGCUGUCUGCCAGGAGGGAGGGGGAGCUCAGGAGAGUCAAACAACGAUGUGUGGAGACAGGAAAAGUUACUGAUAAUGAUGUGCUGGUUGUACCACUGGACUCUGUUGCCUAUGACACCCAUGCUGGAUGUGUGGAGCAUGUUCUUGCUCACUUUGGCAGAGAUGACAUCCUU